Long non-coding RNA from Haliotis rubra (blacklip abalone), 410 nucleotides. RefSeq lists it as uncharacterized. NCBI's taxonomy places the organism in Eukaryota, Metazoa, Mollusca, Gastropoda, Lepetellida, Haliotidae. The record is from RefSeq and is a predicted model, not a curated record. The transcript has 2 exons.
AAGAGUCGCAGCCAGUAGUCUCAGUCCCAUAAGAGAUCUUCAUUGUCGAGUCAAGAUCAAGAUCGCCAUCGGCUUCUUACAGCCAAAGAGGCCCAGACUGACAACAGAAAAGGGUUGGGGAUUGUAGACGGCCCUCAGUUUGAAUAUCAUGGGCAAGACAAUAUUAGAGAGGACAGUCCUCGACAUGAGUCCAGGAGAAAGGACAGACAGGAUGUGUUCAGCCCAGACACAUCUAGUCUCAGACACAGGCCUUCAGACAGCGAUAAUGGUGAUGAGCAGCCAAGAUUUCCAAUGACAGAAGCUCGAUUUCAAAAGAGAGUACUCCAAUUACUUUUGGAAAUAAGGUCCCAUGUGAAAAAGGUGUCCAUUCAACAGACUUCCAAUGACAAUUACCAAAUAAGGCCUGCCGA